Molecule: ribosomal RNA, 496 nt
Filed under: uncultured bacterium
Lineage: Bacteria
Description: partial 16S ribosomal RNA
Rfam family: Bacterial small subunit ribosomal RNA
Source: RNAcentral
AUGAACGCUGGCGGCGUGCCUAAUACCUGCCAGUCGAGCGAACAGACGAGGAGCUUGCUCCUCUGACGUUAGCGGCGGACGGGUGAGUAACACGUGGAUAACCUACCUAUAAGACUGGGAUAACUUCGGGAAACCGGAGCUAAUACCGGAUAAUAUAUUGAACCGCAUGGUUCAAUAGUGAAAGACGGUUUUGCUGUCACUUAUAGAUGGAUCCGCGCCGCAUUAGCUAGUUGGUAAGGUAACGGCUUACCAAGGCAACGAUGCGUAGCCGACCUGAGAGGGUGAUCGGCCACACUGGAACUGAGACACGGUCCAGACUCCUACGGGAGGCAGCAGUAGGGAAUCUUACGCAAUGGGCGAAAGCCUGACGGAGCAACGCCGCGUGAGUGAUGAAGGUCUUCGGAUCGUAAAACUCUGUUAUUAGGGAAGAACAAAUGUGUAAGUAACUAUGCACGUCUUGACGGUACCUAAUCAGAAAGCCACGGCUAACUACGUG